CGGAAGUGGUCAUCAGCAAGUGUGGAGCCAAACGACAACAAGAUUCUCAGAGGGCGGAGCCAGAGAGCAGUGAUUGGUCAGACCAUAGAAGACAGCGAGCUAGCGUAUCUAGUCUGCUAUAUAUAUCUAUGGUCGGCACGUGUGGUAGCAUCUCUGGCUGCUGUUGACCUUGUUUUUGGAGUAAAACACGGUGGAAGCUGAAUUAGUGAGGAUGACUCCUGCUCCUGUCAUCUCUAAGCUCCUCACACAUCUUUACCUGCACAUGAGGAAAAUCACUCCUGUAGAAUGCAGUGGUUCAUCAGAACCUCUGGGGAUGUCCUGUGGAUUCUGUGGAUCCUGUGGGUUGCAGGGUGGGUCCUACCUAGACCAGGCUGAUCCUGGACCAUCCCACAGAUGCUCAAUCAGAUCUGGAUGUGGGGAGUGUGGAACCCAGAUGUUCAGAGGGAGAUGAUGCCACAUCUGGUCCAGCUGAUGGAAGGUCUUGAAGUUCUCUGACUGGCCUCGACUGAAGAUGGUCGUCUCACUGGAUUUAAGGUUCAGAUGCUCAGUAACAAACUCCACCAAUGUGCCAACAGGGAAGCUUUAGGUUUACUAAAUGUUGCUAUGAAGGUUUCACUGUUUUUCUUUGUGAAUGCAAUGCGCUCCAACUGAAACUUGAAUUAGAAAUUAGAAGUAAAUCCUUCCAUCUGAAAGGAUUUAGUUGCAUUAAUAACCUCUUAACAUUCUAAUUUUUCUUCCAGUCUUGGUUGGAAAUAGAAUCUCUGUAUUGAUUCAGGUAAAAACUGAACUUCACAGCAUGUUGGAGCAAAACAACCAGAUGAAAACUGUGAUGGUGUUGGAUUGUCAGACCGUAAUGUUGCAGCUCAAAGCAGCUUUUCUAGCUCAGUUCAUUGUGACAUUCAGCUAUGAAUCAACACAGCAGAUGGUGAUCCAUGCUGUGGAAGUCUCACAUCUCCUGAUUUAAUGGAGCUGCUUUGCACUUUUUACACUGUUUAUUCACCAACACUUUAUUUAAUAAAAGUCCCAUCUAGUUUUUAUGAGGAAUGUGAUGUUUUAAUUUCUCUGUGAAUAACUGCAGUCUAAUGUAACAGCUGGAAUUGUAACAUCUGUCCUGAUAUUGAUCAUAAAGUAUUGAUCAGAAUACUUAUGGUCAGCAGUCAUCCCUGAAGUUUUAUAUUAAAAUCUUUACUUGUGUUAUGAACUUUGGUAAGAAGCAGAAACUUUAGCAUUGCUAUAGAUAUAUGAGUGUUAAGUUCUGUCCAUGUUUCCAUUUUGGGAAAUGCAGUCCAGCAGAUGAGUUUUUUACUGACAGCUACCAUUCAGUCUGAGAUAUUAAGAAUAAAUAAAUGUGCAUAAUGUGGAAAUGAACAGAUUAUAUUUUUAUUUAUUCCUACAGCUGCUGCUGGUAAAGUUCCAGAAUGUGGAGGAAUUUAGUCUCACAAUCAGACAAUAAAUAUUGUCUGAAAGUCGGGUUAUUGUUGUUUAUCAGCACAUGUUGGACAUAUUCCAGUUAAGACUCUAGAAUAUCAGGAUUUAUGUAAAUUUACCUCAAUAAUAUGAAUGUUCAGGUUAAGAUUGUGCAGUGAUAUUUAUUAUGUAAGUUUAGCUGAUUAAAGUUUAUGACUCUGCACUACAAAAUUAUUUAUUAUUUAAAUUUACAUCAUUAUUAUAAUAUUUAGGGUCAGACCCUACAGUAUUGAGAUUAAGAAAUCAAAUAUUCUAUAAAAUGUAAAUACACUGAACUCAUUUGGAUAUAUUUAAGUGAAACUCUACAAUAUUAUUUGACACAAAUCUAUCUAAAUCAAAAUUUUUAUCAUUUUUACUCCAAACAUUUACUGGACUGAUUUAAAUAUUAAAAUCACUCCUUUCUAAUCCUCUGCUGUACGUUCAAACCUGAGGCCUUAAAUAGAAACACACAAGUAUCUGUUUGAAGGAACUUCUGCAGAGUCCUGGUUCCAGAACAUGAUGAUAGAAUUAUAGACAAACUUUAACAAAAGCUGCCUGAGAGUUUACAGGUUUUUAUGUUGGAUUUCUUCAGUAAUUUAAUGAGCGUUAUCAGCAAAAAUCAAGUGUUCAUUUGAUGAACUUCAUUUCCUAAAACAUCCAGAACUGGAGCUCAUAUCUUUGGCAGCUGUAAAGUUUCUGCUCCUUCAAAGUUCACAACACAAUGAAUUAAUUCCUAAAACACUCUCAAUGCUGGAGAGCGUUUGUGAUGCUGAAGCAGUGACCAGUUUUUCUGUUUCUUCUCUGGAGAUGCACAAUGAGGGACGUCUGCAGAGACUGAGAAAGAGUCUCACCACAUCCUGACAUGAGGAAAAAGACUUUAUUGAAGACUACAAUGAGAAAAACUAUCAGACAGCAGAUGGCAUGCAUUCAAGGUGAGCUCUGAACAUUUGAUCUGGAACAGGAAUUCAAUAACGGCAGCAUGAGCUUCAUUUCAGUCUGUAGCUGCUGAAUUCAUGGAUGAAUCAUCUGGCACUAGAGAAGAAGACCAUCAAACAUCCACGUCAGUUGAUGGAGGUCCAAGAGUCUCACCAAACAAACAACCUACAGAGUGAAGACCUCAAAUCUGAUUGGACGGCCUCCUAUUCAGCCACAUGCUGUUAGAUUGUUCCAGAUAAGACAAGUAAAAGAUUCUUCAGAGCCGUUCUACCACGAGCCUGACAGGAAGAACU
This is a long non-coding RNA of Amphiprion ocellaris (clown anemonefish), 2675 nucleotides long. NCBI's taxonomy places the organism in Eukaryota, Metazoa, Chordata, Actinopteri, Pomacentridae. The record is from Ensembl.